Long non-coding RNA from Drosophila guanche, 771 nucleotides. RefSeq lists it as uncharacterized. The transcript is spliced from 3 exons. The record is from RefSeq and is a predicted model, not a curated record. Lineage: Eukaryota; Metazoa; Arthropoda; Insecta; Diptera; Drosophilidae.
UACAAAAAUAUUUUCUUAUAAUUUAAAUAUGAAUGUGGAAUUAUCUGUUACUUUUGAAAACUGUUUUACACCUAUGCCACGCACUGUAGAUAGUCAAAACUCAAGUCAAGUCACUCAUUAUUGGCUGGCUAUGGCCGUCAAAAGUCUCAAGGGAGGACACGCGCCGCGACUGAUGUGUGAUGUGCGUUGACUUGUGACCCCAACAUUGGGUUUGGAAUUUAAAUUGUAAAUGCUGUCAGUUCAUAUAUUAUGCAUGCAGAUACACAAUUAGUCAGGCACAAAAAUAUUUUUCAAUGCAAACAAAUCACCGCGAGUGGGGGCUAGGAGGAGCGUUGGAAGAUUUAAUUUACUUACCCUCAUCUGGGAGUAUUCCGCUAGGAAUCCAAUAUUUAUCGUGUCAGAGAGACGGCGUGUCGAGGAUGCUGCUGUUGCUGCUGCAGUUCCUGUCCCUGGCAGGGAGCUGCUCUGAGUGCCCAGCAGCAGAAGCAACACCAGGAUGGCAGCAGGCAAUGCGAGAUUGCAACAGAAUGCGGCUGUGGCAGUGGCAGGCAUUCUUAACGGACGCAAUAAAGUUUUAUUUUACACGAAACUGAUAUCGUCGCGCACAAGGACGGAGGGAACUCCGACAACAACGACUACGGCACUGCUUGACGGCACUACGUCACCAAGAAAUACCAUCACAUGGUGCGGAGUAGAGCUCGAGAAUCCAGCUAAUAUAAACAACCGACCAGAGUCCACACAUAUAUUAAAUAUUCCUAAUUCUAAUCCCAA